This 550-nucleotide ribosomal RNA is filed under the name uncultured Rhizophagus. RNAcentral describes it as "SSU rRNA". It matches the Rfam family "Eukaryotic small subunit ribosomal RNA", at positions 548 to 1098 of the family's 1831-position model. The record is from RNAcentral. Lineage: Eukaryota; Fungi; Glomeromycota; Glomeromycetes; Glomerales; Glomeraceae.
UUGGAGGGCAAGUCUGGUGCCAGCAGCCGCGGUAAUUCCAGCUCCAAUAGCGUAUAUUAAAGUUGUUGCAGUUAAAAAGCUCGUAGUUGAAUUUCGGGAUCAAUAUUUCGGUCAUGCCGUUGGUAUGCACUGUUAUCAUUGAUUUCUCACCUUCUAAAGAACCGUAAUGCCAUUAAUUUUGUGUUACGGGGAAUUAGGACUGUUACCUUGAAAAAAUUAGAGUGUUUAAAGCAGGCUCACGCUUGAAUACAUUAGCAUGGAAUAAUGAAAUAGGACAUCCGAUUCUAUUUUGUUGGUUUCUAGGAUCGAUGUAAUGAUUAAUAGGGAUAGUUGGGGGCAUUAGUAUUCAAUUGUCAGAGGUGAAAUUCUUGGAUUUAUUGAAGACUAACUACUGCGAAAGCAUUUGCCAAGGAUGUUUUCAUUAAUCAAGAACGAAAGUUAGGGGAUCGAAGACGAUCAGAUACCGUCGUAGUCUUAACCAUAAACUAUGCCGACUAGGGAUCGGAUGAUGUUAAUUUUUUAAUGACUCAUUCGGCGCCUUACGGGAAAC